RNAcentral lists this ribosomal RNA (254 nucleotides) under uncultured bacterium. RNAcentral describes it as "partial 16S ribosomal RNA". It matches the Rfam family "Bacterial small subunit ribosomal RNA", at positions 524 to 776 of the family's 1533-position model. The record is from RNAcentral.
UACGUAGGGCGCAAGCGUUUAUCCGGAAUUAUUGGGCGUAAAGAGCUCGUAGGCGGUUUGUCGCGUCUGCUGUGAAAGACCGGGGCUCAACUCCGGUUCUGCAGUGGGUACGGGCAGACUAGAGUGAUGUAGGGGAGACUGGAAUUCCUGGUGUAGCGGUGAAAUGCGCAGAUAUCAGGAGGAACACCGAUGGCGAAGGCAGGUCUCUGGGCAUUAACUGACGCUGAGGAGCGAAAGCAUGGGGAGCGAACAGG